CCUUUGGGUUCACUUGUCUUUGGCCUUGCAUCGGCUUUUCUGCUACAUUCUGCAUGAGAAGUUUGCCAUUGAUUAUUUGUGUCAUCUUGAAAGUGCUUGUUUCUACAAACUACAUUCUCAUUAGCAGGUUCCGGACUGUGACUACAAGAACUUUCAGGUUCAGACAAUGGCGCAGCAACUUCAACUGUAGAACAGGCAUCCUCAACAGAGGCUGUCUCUU
RNAcentral lists this unclassified non-coding RNA (220 nucleotides) under Hevea brasiliensis (rubber tree). The record is from RNAcentral. Lineage: Eukaryota; Viridiplantae; Streptophyta; Magnoliopsida; Malpighiales; Euphorbiaceae.